AAGGUCAUAACAAGGUUUCCGUAGGUGAACCUGCGGGAAGGGAUCAUUAAUAAAUGCUCUCUGGCUUCGGUCAAGGCUGAGGUUCAAGUGAGUGCCUUCUCUUCGGAGUUGGCCAUCCACACACACCGUGAACUGUGGCUUCGGCCAUCACAAACUGUUAGUAAUGAAUGUAAUAUCAUAACAAAAACAAAA
RNAcentral lists this unclassified non-coding RNA (192 nucleotides) under plant metagenome. RNAcentral describes it as "partial contains small subunit ribosomal RNA and internal transcribed spacer 1". The record is from RNAcentral.